GCCACUUUAGCUCAGCUGGUAGAGCAACUGAUUUGUAAUCAGUCGGUCAUUGGUUCGAUUCCGAUAAGUGGCU
RNAcentral lists this transfer RNA (73 nucleotides) under Bacteroidota bacterium. RNAcentral's name for it is "Bacteroidetes bacterium (activated sludge metagenome) tRNA-Thr". It matches the Rfam family "tRNA". From Rfam's summary of the family: Transfer RNA (tRNA) molecules are approximately 80 nucleotides in length. Their secondary structure includes four short double-helical elements and three loops (D, anti-codon, and T loops). RNAcentral also lists the same sequence under 1 other name. Lineage: Bacteria; Pseudomonadati; Bacteroidota. The record is from RNAcentral.